This 410-nucleotide ribosomal RNA is filed under the name uncultured Nitrososphaerota archaeon. RNAcentral describes it as "bacterial SSU rRNA". It matches the Rfam family "Archaeal small subunit ribosomal RNA", at positions 451 to 861 of the family's 1478-position model. Lineage: Archaea; Thermoproteati; Nitrososphaerota. The record is from RNAcentral.
UCUGGUGUCAGCCGCCGCGGUAAAACCAGCACCUCAAGUGGUCAGGAUGAUUAUUGGGCCUAAAGCAUCCGUAGCCGGCUCUAUAAGUUUUCGGUUAAAUCUGUACGCUUAACGUACAGGCUGCCGGGAAUACUGCAGAGCUAGGGAGUGGGAGAGGCAGACGGUACUCGGCGGGAAGGGGUAAAAUCCUUUGAUCUAUUGAUGACCACCUGUGGCGAAGGCGGUCUACCAGAACACGUCCGACGGUGAGGGAUGAAAGCUGGGGGAGCAAACCGGAUUAGAUACCCGGGUAGUCCCAGCUGUAAACUAUGCAAACUCAGUGAUGCAUUGGCUUGUGGCCAAUGCAGUGUUGCAGGGAAGCCGUUAAGUUUGCCGCCUGGGAAGUACGUACGCAAGUAUGAAACUUAAAG